UUCCGGUUGAUCCUGCCGGACCCGACUGCUAUCAGAGUGGGACUAAGCCAUGCGAGUCAACAUAGCAAUAUGUGGCAUACGGCUCAGUAACACGUAGUCAACAUGCCCAGGGGACGUGGAUAACCUCGGGAAACUGAGGAUAAACCGCGAUAAGUCACUACUUCUGGAAUGGGUAAUGACUCAAAUCUACAUGGCCCCUGGAUUGGACUGCGGCCGAUCAGGCUGUUGGCGGGGUAAUGGCCCACCAAACCUGUAACCGGUACGGGCCUUGAGAGAGGUGGCCCGGAGAUGGACACUGAGACAAGGGUCCAGGUCCUACGGGGCGCAGCAGGCGCGAAACCUUCGCAAUGUGCGAAAGCAUGACGAGGUUAAUCCGAGUGGCUUCCGCUGAGGAAGUCUUUUGCCGACUUUAAAAUGGUCGGAGAAUAAGGGGAGGGCAAGUCUGGUGUCAGCCGCCGCGGUAAUACCAGCUCCUCGAGUGGUCGGGGCGAUUAUUGGGCCUAAAGCAUCCGUAGCCGGUUCCAUAGGUCUCCUGCAAAAUCCAGUCGCUCAACGAUUGGCCCGCAGGAGAUACCGUGGGACUAGGAGGCGGGAGAGGUGGACGGUACUCCACGUGUAGGGGUAAAAUCCUUUGAUCCGUGGAAGACCACCAGUGGCGAAGGCGGUCCACCAGAACGCGCUCGACGGUGAGGGAUGAAAGCUGGGGGAGCGAACCGGAUUAGAUACCCGGGUAGUCCCAG
This 740-nucleotide ribosomal RNA is filed under the name uncultured archaeon. RNAcentral describes it as "bacterial SSU rRNA". It matches the Rfam family "Archaeal small subunit ribosomal RNA", at positions 1 to 750 of the family's 1478-position model. The record is from RNAcentral.